GUAGGGAAUAUUGGGCAAUGGACGAGAGUCUGACCCAGCCAUGCCGCGUGCAGGAAGAAGGCCUAUUGGGUUGUAAACUGCUUUUAUCUGGGAAGAAAAGGCCCAUGCGUGGGACAUUGCCGGUACCAGAUGAAUAAGCACCGGCUAACUCCGUGCCAGCAGCCGCGGUAAUACGGAGGGUGCAAGCGUUGUCCGGAUUUAUUGGGUUUAAAGGGUGCGUAGGCGGCUAUUUAAGUCAGCGGUGAAAGACUCCGGCUCAACCGGAGCAGUGCCAUUGAUACUGGAUAGCUUGAGUGUUGGAGGGGUACAUGGAAUUGAUGGUGUAGCGGUGAAAUGCAUAGAUACCAUCAGGAACACCGAUAGCGAAGGCAUUGUACUGGCCAACAACUGACGCUGAGGCACGAAAGCAUGGGGAGCGAACAGGAUUAGAAACCCUUGUAGUCC
This 444-nucleotide ribosomal RNA is filed under the name uncultured bacterium. RNAcentral describes it as "bacterial SSU rRNA". It matches the Rfam family "Bacterial small subunit ribosomal RNA", at positions 354 to 796 of the family's 1533-position model. The record is from RNAcentral.